AGGGUGUAUGAAAGGAGAGAAGGUUAGCAAUCCCCUUGAUAAGGAUGGAAGAGGUCUUAGUGACCUUUACAACACGCAUAUGGUUAAGGCAUUGCCACUUAUUUCGUGACAUCUAACCAAGU
Small nuclear RNA from Gopherus agassizii (Agassiz's desert tortoise), 122 nucleotides. Lineage: Eukaryota; Metazoa; Chordata; Testudines; Testudinidae. The record is from Ensembl.